This 392-nucleotide long non-coding RNA is filed under the name Phoenix dactylifera (date palm). Its description in RNAcentral is "long non-coding RNA (PDAC_LNC012235)". Lineage: Eukaryota; Viridiplantae; Streptophyta; Magnoliopsida; Arecales; Arecaceae. The record is from RNAcentral.
CACUCUAACCAACUAAAAAGAAAUUUCGUCCUCGAAAUUAAAACAUACCUCAAUCCGAGAACAAGGCAGGAAACUUCUCUCUCAUCUCCUCCUCCAGCUCCCAAGUAGCUUCUCUCUCACUGUGAUUGCUCCACUGCACCUUUACAUAAGGAAUCGUGCGCCUCCUCAAAACUUGGUCCUUCCUAUCCAUUAUACGGAUAGGCUGCUCAACAUAAGAAAGAUCUGCGCGGAGCUGCAAAGGUGCCACUUCAAUCACAUGACUGGGAUCAGCAAUGUACCUCCUCAACAUAGAAACAUGAAAAACAGAAUGAACCCCCGAUAAGGCAGGUGGAAGUGCCAGCUUAUAAGCAACAGCUCCAACUCUCUCGAGAAUCUCGAAUGGUCCCACAUAU